GUCUGCUUGCCCUCUAGCUACUGUUAGGGUUUUUGCAAGCCUACUCGUCCAAUAUGGUCGUUGAAGCACGUAAAACAGCCACUUCCUGGAUUUAGACCAAUCAGCGUGCUCUCUGGGUUCUGCGCAAUUUUGCCGGGAAAACGGAAAUCGGCUCGGUGGAAGUUAUUAAACUCAAUGAGCCAAAGUGGCGGGAGAUUUUGUCAGCUCGGUACCGGAUCAGUGGGGUGUGCGCUGGAUUAAAGGGUAACUACUGACUGCUGUGUCUCAGGUAACUACUGACUGCUGUGUCUCAGGUAACUACUGACUGCUGUGUCUCAGGUAACUACUGACUGCUGUGUCUCAGAUAAAUGACAUGAAAUUACUGACUGCGGUGUCUCGGGUAACUACU
Long non-coding RNA from Ictalurus punctatus (channel catfish), 388 nucleotides. The record is from Ensembl. NCBI's taxonomy places the organism in Eukaryota, Metazoa, Chordata, Actinopteri, Siluriformes, Ictaluridae.